Molecule: long non-coding RNA, 1201 nt
Filed under: Apis mellifera (honey bee)
Lineage: Eukaryota; Metazoa; Arthropoda; Insecta; Hymenoptera; Apidae
Description: uncharacterized LOC100576319, transcript variant X5
Source: RNAcentral
AUUGGUUAGGGAUAGACGCGAAAGUGACCACAGGUACAUUGAGAUAGUCAUAAUUUUGAAGAAAUUCGUUUAUAAGAAAUAAUAAGUAAUGUGUUAUGGAAGACAUGACGACGAUCAGGGUGGUCCUCUCUCACGAUUCAAGAAACCUCGUUCUGGAACCGAUGUAUACACGGUACACGCGUCGUCAACGGAGCCGUCGACGUCGUGGAUGCUGCCAGAAAGAAAGUUGAUCUGAAAAUCAAACAAACAACCGACGCUGCGUUUCUGCACUUCCGUCGUCACCGUUUGUUUAUUGUCACUGAGGGAUCACUGUUUUAGACGACAAAAAAAGAAAAAAAUAGGAAUUGUUCAGAACAUUCAUUCACAAGAAGUCCGGAAGUGAAAAAAUGACAAGAACCAAAAAGCAACAAAACCUGUCAGAAUAUUCGUAGACUUAUUGUCUCCACAUUUUUGUUACGGUUACUUAGUAUGCAUGUGCAGAUUCUGUACGCAUUUCAGAAAUACUUCUACUUCAAACACACGUGUUCACCAUCAGACAAGAAAAGAGAGGUGACGAAAUCUGGAUUGAAUUUCUUGAAUUAACAUCUUCGAGGGGGUAUUAGACCCACGUGAAUAACGGGGACCCUGAUGUUAAGAUCGUGAAUUAGAAAAAAAGGGCCUCACGGGUCGUCAUGGCAUGGAUGGGCCUCUGGAUUCCUCAGUGGGGGUUCCUUGGACAUUUCUUUCGUUUCUCUUACUACUCCCGACGAUCCAUUGUUAUUGCUCCUCCUCACUGUCAAAAACGAAAUUGGAGAAUAUUGGGUCUGGUGAAUUCGUCCAGGAGAUUCUAAAGCACGAUUUAAGAGGUCAAAUCUAAACGAUCCUAGUUCUUGGAAGGAGAGAGCCAUCAGGACACGCGACACUUCCCGACUCAGAGGAAGCGUGUCUUUUUUAUUUUUUUUUGUACAUGGAACCCCAUGGUUACGAACCACUGAAAUCAUAUUGAUGAUAGAUUCAUCGUUAUUAUUUCAACAGAUUUUAUACAUGUUAUCAACUAUUAUAAUUUGUAAAAAUUGAAAAAAAAUUAAUUUUUUUAGAAUAAAUUUUAUGAUAUAGUUAUUGAUAAAUAGAUAUAAAAUAAAUUUAAUAUCUUAAACAGAUGUUAUAGAUAUAUUGACAUGAUCCUUGAAAAAAAGGAAGAUAUUCUAUCUGCGUUCAUUUA